Molecule: unclassified non-coding RNA, 391 nt
Filed under: soil metagenome
Description: partial contains 5.8S ribosomal RNA, internal transcribed spacer 2, and large subunit ribosomal RNA
Rfam family: 5.8S ribosomal RNA (bases 1-122)
Source: RNAcentral
GAUGAAGAACGUAGCGAAAUGCGAUACUUGGUGUGAAUUGCAGAAUCCCGUGAACCAUCGAGUCAUUGAACGCAAGUUGCGCCCGAAGCCAUUAGGCCGAGGGCACGCCUGCCUGGGCGUCACACGUCGUUGCCCCCCCAUCUACUCCUUCGGGAUUGCGGGGGGCGGAUGAUGGCCUCUCGUGCGCCUCGUCGCGCGGUUGGCCUAAAUGCCAAGUCCUCGGCGACGCACGCCACGACAAUCGGUGGUUGCGAAACCUCGGUUGCCUGUCGUGUGCGGUCGUCGCGCAUCGAGGGCUCGAAAAAAUUGCCGGGCUUCGGCUCGACUUUCAACGCGACCCCAGGUCAGGCGGGGUUACCCGCUGAAUUUAAGCAUAUCAAUAAGCGGAGGA